GGCCGGGGAGCAGCCGGGGAUCGAACCAGCGCCGUAGAGGCCGCGGGCAGGUUCGCAACCCAGCGCUCAACUGCUGCGCCACCGGGGAGGCCCCCUCCAUAACUUUUUGUCCCUAAUGUUUCCAUCAGCUGAACUGGUAGUUUUUUCGCCAUGCUUCCAAAAAGUGAAUGGAAAUUCAUUUUGAAAGAAGAGUAGUUGUCAUUAAUAGUUGUGAAAACUUGGCAGGCCAGACUGUUUUUCUUUUUAAAAGGAAUGUUAAGAUAUCCCAAUUAAUUGUUUCUCUGAACAAGAAAGUCCCCCAAAUAAUAGUUUAACCUGUAAAACACAGAAACAAGGCUCUUGGGGAGAAGCUGUAGAAUCGUGUCCCCUCAGCCUCCUGAUGUUCUGUUCCGCAAGGAGAUGGAUGGGCCUCGUGGGCUGGUACAUCUGUCCGCCCCUGAGCUCUUCCUUGGGUUUCCUGUACAGUCCGCGGCGCUUCGCCUCUUCCUGUGCUGCACUUCCUUGGGCUCUUGUUUUCUUGUUUAAAGAACCAGCUCUGUCUCCUUUUGAGGUUGAGCUAUAUUAUUUCUCAUACUUCUGGGGCAAAAUCAAGCAUAUCAAACACUUGUAUUUGCAUGGAAAAGUAGGUUUUAUAAGGGCUUCCACUUUACAUUUGCAAAAUUUGAACUAGAUAAUGUGUCUUCCACAUGGUUUGUUAUGCAUGGAGGUUUGGUUUAAUUACGGUUUGCAGCUGUUAAUCCAGAACAUGAUAGGGAUCAGCAUCACAGGGGGACGACUUGUUUCAUACCAGCCUUAAUUGUAGCGCCGUGGACCUGUUAGGUCUGGCGCUUUACCUUUUUGCAGGCUGAGAAUUCCAGAGUUUGUUAGUCUCCUCCUGGAGCGAGCUCCUGUGUUGGAGGCCGUCUUUCCCCCAAGGACUGUCUUCUUUCUUAUCCAGCAUUCCCAAUUCUUGAUGGGAGUGAGUGAAAAGCCGAUUUAGCAGAGAACUGUUGGUGGCAUGGAAUCAAUUAUUUAAGUCUGUUUUAUCUAGGCCAGGGUUGAACCUGAUGAGUUUUUCCUGGUAUUAAUCUGUAUACCUUCUUGGCGAUUAGAGAGACUUUCUGCCUCUCAUAUUUCAAAGUCAUGGUUACAUUUAAUAGUUCUACUUUCUGGGCCUCCCCGGUGGCGCAGCGGUUGAGCGCUGGGUUGCGAAGCUGCCCGCGGCCUCUGCAGCACUGGUUCGAUCCCCGGCUGCUCCCCGGCCACCGAAGGAGGGUCCCACAUGGAGCGCAGACCUCUCCUGCCGCCCGCUGCUCCCCUCAGCAGUGUACUUCGGUCCUUCUGCCUGUUCUGCUCCCCACUCUGGCUCUGGUGAAUUCUCUCACCCUCCCGCGCUUCUGACUGUACCCAGUGCUUGUACAAAUAAAUAAGUAAAUAAAUAAACAAACAAAAAAACAAGAGAGUUCUCCUUUAAAAAAAAAAUAGUUCUACUUUCCAGCUUUUCCCUAGGGUUUAGACAUCUUUGACCUUUAAUUUGUCUUGGGGCCCUUAGUCACCCUUUGUUUUGUGAGUGUGCGUGUGUGUGUGUGUGUGUGUGUGUGAGAUUAAGAUUUUUUCUGCUGACAACAGUAACCUAUUUUCACAUCAUGUUAUAAUUGGUUAUUUUAUCCAUGAACCCUACUUCUAGUGUAUGGAUUCUAUUUAAGUCAACACUUCCCAGCCUUUGCUCUUUUUACUAACUUGGUUAAAAUCUCAUCCCAAACAUUUUACUAUAGUAAAUAGUGGCGACAUUCUAUUAGUGCAUGUUUUAGGCAAAGACUAGUGGAAAACAUAGGUACAUUAGAAGAAAUAAACUAACAUUAAUAGUCAUUGAGUGCCAGCUCUGUCCCAGAUAACAUACCAAACUCUUCCCAAGAUAGUGUGAUCUUCAUCGAUAAAGCCCCACCUCAAAGAGAGGAAACUAAAGCUCGGUGAAGUUGAACAACUUGCCUGUAGACACAUCAACAAAUUAAGGGCUAAGGACUCAGACUGGUCUGACUUGCUCAGUGUGCCUUUCCAGUUUAUGGUUCUUCCAUUCUCCGGUGGAAAGGGUCUUAGGGAGUUUGAAAUGGCUGCCAGAAAGAGGAUGUGUUGUUGGGAUAGAGCAUUUUAAGGCAGAGCAAACACUCUGGAGUCUUGUUAACAGCAAUCCAGACAUGAAAUGGCGAGGUCUGGUGGACAGCUAGGGCAGUGAAGUGGAAGUUAAAGGGAUCAAUAGUCGCUGAUGGGCGUCCCUAACAGCACCCCGGGACCCUCCUCGCGCCUUCAAAGACUCGUGGAAGUUUGGCCAUAAACACAAGUCCUAAAGUUGUGUUGAAAGGCUUUUCAGAACCCCCUCGUUUAUCGUACUCCUACUGCAAUGGUAAAUAAAAGUAGUAAUUGCCUAAUUGGGCUAUUUUCUCUUUUACAUUGUCCACUGAGGGGCGGGCAUGCUUGUUUGUGGCUGUGUCCAUGUUGCCUGAGCAUAGGGAGGUCUUCGAGGUCAAAACUUCUCAUAAAACUCCUGUGCAGCUCGUCCUCACAGCUGCAGAGCGUGCGUACUGCGCAGUGACAGCAAGGAUGUGACGGAACGGUCCUGUGUAUUCUUCAGGUGUCCAGCGUUUCCUGAGGUGGUGAGGUUGAGGUCGUUAACUCUUAGUUUGUACCUUCUAUAAUCCCGGCAACUUUCAAUGUAGUGCAAUUAUUAUAGAAUUCUAUAGAUUUUUGUGUGCCUGAGCAUAAACAUGAAUGCUCUGCUGUUAUUCUUAGGCACUGUUUCAAAUAUUUCCUUAAGUUAUUUAGUCAAAACUUGCUAGAAUAACCAUUUUCUAAACUAAACAUUUUUCUUAAGCAUAGAUCUUUGGCUUAAGGAUUCUGAGUCCACUUGUUCAACCCAUAGCUACACCAUCUAUAUUUAAAAGGGGUACGGAGUUAAUUCUCUCACAGUUCACUUGUCUCACAGGGAAAAUUAGCUGCAAAGAAACUAGAAGAAAAGCUUGCUGAAGUGUCUUACAGGUAAGUCAGUACCUGAUAUUGGCUGGAGAGCACGCUCAGUGGCUGAGGAACGACAAAAAGCUGUGUUGCUGAUACAGCCAAUGCUGGCUAAGAAGUAAAUCACAGGCGUGAUUUUUGUCAUUAAAGAUAAUUUAUGGAGACACGCAGUCUGCCAUCGUGGCUCGUGCACAUGUGUGCUUCUGCCUUGCAACUGGAUGAGUCUGCAAACAUGGCUGGGCUUGUUACUUGCGUUUGUUUAGUAUCCACUGGCCAAAGAAAGACUGAUGUACAAGUUGGCCCCAGACAUGUCCUGAAAUAGUGUUGAAAAGCUCUGUAGAACCUCCCGCUAAAGCUACUGGCAUCGUGGCAAGCGGCGCCCACCUGCUAGUCACUGUCCACUGCAGUGCCUUGCAGUACAGACCAGUCAUACCGGAGAACACCCCUGUGAAGACAGUGAAAAUCAGAUCUGGACCCUGAGCACGCUAACGUGAGGGUGAAAUGGGGAGCUGCAGGCGGUCCUUAGGCUAGUUGCCUUGGUAGCUUUUUCAAGAAAAUGCCUUGCUGCACUUGUGUUCCAAGCUGAAUCUGCUGUUUUCUUAGACCACCAUUUUUACUUGAAAAAAUGUUAAAUUUAGGUUCUUAGAUUUGGCUAUUUGGCAGACAUUUUUUUUACUAUGAAGGCAAUGAACAUUUCAAGGAAGGAAACUGACAGCAAUUAAGCUAAAACUCAAACUUUGAAGUGAAAAUUAGAAUUUUGGGAACACUUCCGGAGCUUUAGGUUUUCCAGCGCUGCUUGUUUUUAUGAGCCGGUAGUGUGAGCAGUAUGACUCUAAAAUAUAUCAGGAGCUAGACAAAACUUAAAAGGUUUAUGAAACUAAGUGAACCAACACUUCCAAGUGACCAGUGCAACUACACAUAAUCUAAGCCAAUUGAAUGUAAAAAAUAAAAAUACACCUGCCGUCCGUUAAGGCAGACAUUUUAAAAAAUGUGAAAUAAUGCCAUUGUUGGAAAUAAUAAGGCAGUGCAUUUUUGCUUUUCCUAUUUUGAGUUCUUAGGUGGGAAAAUACUGGUAAAUAGUUGCCUGGGCCCUCAGUUUUAAAGAGUAUGAAGAGGACUCGAGACCAGGAAGUUUGAGAGAACAGCUGUUGCUCACAUUGAACACACUAAAGUCUCCACUGCCUGUUGAAUAGCUGGGGGGUUUGAAGUCGCCCCCAGUAGUCAGCCUGGGUCACGGGGAUGGGCGAGCUGGGCCAUAGGUUAGGCCAUAGGUUGGGCCAUAGAUAGGUUGUGGUGAAUAAAGUGGGUGCCUGUUGAGUCUGAGGUGGGACAUACAGGGGUGACUGUAGUUGGAAAUUUCUAAUUUGGGGUUGUAGAAAAUGGAAAUAUCAUUCUAGUGAAAAUUGCUUCUGUCAUAAAAUAGAUCAUAUUAUAGCUACAAAUUCAGGACUGCUCAGCAAGCAACCUUGAGGCAAAAGGGUGUGACAGAGCCUUUAACAUUGUACACAUUUAAAAGUUUUGGUCCAGCAGAGAUCUUUGUGGUGUUUUUCUUGAACUGUUAAAAAAUUAGCAGGCAGGACCAUUUAGAAUUUUUAAACUUUGACCCUGUUCUCUCUGAAAUUCCCACCUAACCCUCACCUGAACCUGGAAGAGGCUGCGGACAAAGUACUGUAGUAUCAAGGUGUGAAGCCCUACUCCCAAAAUACAGUAUUAUAAACCAGUGGAAAAUCAAUAAAAUGUUACUUUUUAAAAAAAGAGUGGUGGUAUACUUUUUUCCUCCUAGCUCUCACAAUACUUGGACACUUUAGGUACUUUGUAAACCUUUCAGCAUACUUAACCCCUCCCUACCCCCUAAUCUUCAACUUUCGGUCCUUGCAGUUGCGAUCUGAGCCAUAGCUUUCAUGAGGGGCCAGAGUCUACAGAGCUGGUUCUUUCCUGGAAGAUUCAUUACCACACUGAAAGAAUGCUUAAAUAAGUUUCCCUUCUAUCCAUAACACACUGCUAGUCUCUGGGAGGUACCUUUUUUACUUGCUAUACUUAUAAAAUCCCUGUGUUUACAUCCAAAGUACAGUGACUGGUUCAUGAGUCAUUUUGUCUGCAGGUUGCUACAGGUUGCCUUUUCUGUGUCUACACGUUCCCAGGGUGCUGGAGCCCGCUUGAAAGCUAUACUCUCUCAAAGAACCUAAGAGGAUUAAGAAGCAAACUCCCACUUUAUAGAAAUGAAAUCACCUUUCCCCAGUUGAUGCUUACGUCUUCAAUUAUCUCUUCUGUCAACUCUACCAAUCUGUUACAGUAAAGGGACUCACCAGUGUGUAAUUCUCAGCCUUUUCUGUAAUCCACAAUCAAUCUAGUCCCUGGCUAUUUGUAGUCUAGAGCAUUCUGGAUAUCUCCCCUGCCUAUCUAAAAGCUAAAGGAAAAUCAUUACCUCUAUUGGGAUUGCCCCUGUUCCACACAUUGGAUCAACUAUGAUAUCAGUAGGUUGAGGUACACAGAGCCUGUGGAAAAGAAAACAGCCUGUAAGAGCGGACGUCACUGACAGCCGAGGCCUCCACAGCGACUGUUUCUGAAGUUACAAGGUCAAGGACCCAUUACACUAGCAGGACGGAACUUGGGUCAAUAUUCAUUGUAAAUGUCCAUUUGUAAUUACAUGUUGCCUGUGUAUUCUAGAGCUUAAAAAAAAUUACAUACAACGAAAAACCCACUUUGAUUAUACUUACAAUCCCACUUCCCUACUAGAUGGAAUUUAGCCUCUAGACCUUUGCCUGCAUGUGUGUUUGCAUGUAUAUAUAUAUACACAGAUGCUUUAGAAAGCAGUGUUAUUUUGUUUGCAAACCUGUUACAUUAAAAAAUACUCAAACAAGUUGCCAAUAAAACAUGUAUUGAUGUAAGUUUAGUGGCAAUUAGAGAUUCAGUAUUCCUUUCCUUGUAAAUUUAAUUUUAAGAUAAUCUCGCUAUAAAACAAUUGCUUUACUUUGAGCACUUACUAUUUGUCAGGCAUGGAUUUAGGUUGUUUAGAUGAAUUCCUGGGCCAAUUAUCUGAACACUGUGAGAUAAGUUACUUUUAUUCUUCCCAUUGUUUAAACAAGUCGAUGCAAAACUUGUCCAUGGACACAAAACUAAUAGGGGACCUAGAGUCAAGAUGAAAGGGGUCCCUCUCAGUGACUUGACAUUACCCCAUCUGUGAAGCGGCCCCUCCUCACACAGGUCACAACGUUCCUCUUCCCUUCAUUUGUUCUGCUAAUCUUUUCGUGAUCUAUGCGAUGUGCUACAUGUAAAGCAACUAUUUAUCUCCCUGACAAGACUGGGAGUCUUGGGGAUUAACCCUGGAUUCUUCUUGUGACACCUGCCCAGCUCGGGGGACCCCCCACCACAUUCCUGCUGCUCAACAUAGGGCAAACGGCUCUCUCAGUGGCCCUGCUGGGAGUGAGCAACCUGGUCCUCCCAGCCACUGCUGCUGGGGCCAGCGCGCAGCCUUGACUAAAACUACGUCAGUCAGCUUUUCUCUCCCAAAAAUUUGAAAUGAAGAGCUAGAAGCUGUAGCAGAAUAGGUUGAUCAUUUGAAAAUGGAAACAGAUAAAUUUAGAUGAGGGGCAGCCAAGUGCACAGAUGAACAGAGACAAGAGCCCAGAGCUCCCAGAAGAGACAAAAGUGACAGCUCGGUUGCGAGGGGGUUUUCCAAGAUCUGAUUCCUUUCCUGCUUGAGUCAUGGCUUUCAGUUUUUCUGUGGCUUCCCCAAGAUCUCUCCGUAUCUUUCCAAUAAAUCUUCCACCACAAGUCAUCACUUUGUAAAUCUUAAACUAGCUUGCUCAGGUUUCUAAGAGUUGUAUCCACAGUAACGCUCUGCUUCCCGGGCUCCUGCCUUAAUGCGCAGCAGUAGAUAAAAAAUGUGUGUUAAAUGAAGACUAGGAGCUUGUCUUUAAUGAACCCAGUUUUCUAUUGCUACUGAACUGACAGGUUUCCAAUUGCGUUGAACUUAACUCCAUGGAUGAGCAGGAUUAAAAAGGAAGCAAAGAUUGGAAGCAAAAAAAUAUAAAUGACUACCAGGAUAUGCAGGGACUAUAAUUAGUUCUUAUUCUGUAUUUAAUCCUUACUAAUAAACCUUUGAGUCUCACAUCAAAACCAUUCUGCAGUCUGGAAGACAAAAACCAAGAAAAGAUAAGCUUGUCCGAAUAGAAGAACCCAAUAAAAGGGAGGAAGGCAAAGGACAAAUAAAUCGAGGUCUUGCUCUUGGAAAGGUGGAACAUUCCAGAAUGAUUCCUGCAUUGCUGUGAUGAUAAAAUGUAAAAAUAUACAUAAAAGCUCUCUGUAUUCACUUACACAUUAAACAGAUUUAAAAUACCUCGGUUUCAUUUGCUUUACUACUCUGAAAAGAAAGAAAGCAAACUUUGCUCUAUCUAACAACAUACAGUACAGCCCUCCUACUCAUAAUUGUGGCAACCCCAUUCAAAAGGCAAUGAGAACUGUUCUUCCCAUUUUAAAAUCAGACAACUGAGAUAGUAAUUAAGUAAUAGUUUCAGGAUCACAAGCAAUCAAUAUUGGAUAGAGGUGAAAGAAAUAGACAAAGUUUUUUAUCCUGUUCUUCAGGCACUAAAUUCCAUCACAGUACCUCACAAAACAAAGUGUUUUCAAGGCAAAAUUCAAAUCAAAGGGUCACUUCAAUGUAGACA
Talpa occidentalis (Iberian mole) is the source of this 7655-nucleotide long non-coding RNA. RefSeq lists it as uncharacterized. The transcript has 3 exons. The record is from RefSeq and is a predicted model, not a curated record. Lineage: Eukaryota; Metazoa; Chordata; Mammalia; Eulipotyphla; Talpidae.